UAAUACGGAGGGGGCAAGCGUUGUUCGGAAUUAUUGGGCGUAAAGCGCGUGUAGGCGGUGAGGUAAGUCAAACGUGAAAGUCAACGGCUCAACCGGGGAAUUGCGUUUGAUACUGUCUUACUGGAGUACGGGAGAGGAGAGUGGAAUUCCUAGUGUAGCAGUGAAAUGCGUAGAUAUUAGGAAGAACACCGGUGGCGAAGGCGGCUCUCUGGCCCGUUACUGACGCUGAGACGCGAAAGCUAGGGGAGCGAACGGGAUUAGAUACCCCGGUAGUCCUAGCCGUAAACGAUGGGCACUAGGUGAAGGAGGUAUCGAUCCCUUCUGUGCCGUAGCUAACGCAUUAAGUGCCCCGCCUGGGGAGUACGGUCGCAAGGCUG
RNAcentral lists this ribosomal RNA (377 nucleotides) under uncultured delta proteobacterium. RNAcentral's name for it is "bacterial SSU rRNA". It matches the Rfam family "Bacterial small subunit ribosomal RNA", at positions 521 to 896 of the family's 1533-position model. The record is from RNAcentral. Lineage: Bacteria; Deltaproteobacteria.